GUGCCAGCAGCCGCGGUAAAACGUAGGUGGCGAGCGUUAUCCGGAUUCAUUGGGCGUAAAGAGCUUGUAGGUGGUUCUGUAAGUUGGACGUGAAAACUCCGGGCUUAACUUGGAGAGGCCGUUCAAUACUGCAGGGCUAGAGGAUGUCAGAGGGGAGUGGAAUUCCUGGUGUAGCAGUGAAAUGCGUAGAUAUCAGGAGGAACACCCGUGGCGAAGGCGGCUCCCUGGGGCAUCCCUGACACUGAGAAGCGAAAGCUAGGGGAGCAAACGGGAUUAGAAACCCGCGUAGUCC
RNAcentral lists this ribosomal RNA (292 nucleotides) under uncultured bacterium. Its description in RNAcentral is "partial 16S ribosomal RNA". It matches the Rfam family "Bacterial small subunit ribosomal RNA", at positions 505 to 796 of the family's 1533-position model. The record is from RNAcentral.